AAAUUAAUAAAAUAAAAUUAAUAAAAAAAUUUUUAAAAAUAUAUGGGGGUUUAAGUAUUUUUAAAGAAUAAAUAAAAAAUUUUAUAGUGAAGUAGUAUUGUAAAAUAAAUUUGAAAUAAAAGAAAAUAAAUUAGAAAAAAAGUAAUAUUAAAUUUAUGUAUCUUGUGUAUCAGAGUUUAUUAAAAAUAAUUUUUAUAUAAAAAUUUCUCGAAUUUAAAAGAGAGAAUUAAUUAUAAAAGUUAUUGUUGAAAAAAUAUUUUAAAUAAUUAAUUAGCAAUGAAAUGUUAAUCGUUUUUAAAUAUAUCUAGUUUUUUUAGAAAAAAAUUUAAUUUUAAAUUUAUUUAAUAAAAUAGAAUUUAAUUUAGAAAAUAAUUUUAAGAAUAAAUUAAAUAAUUUAGGGGAUAAGCUUUAAAUUAAAUGAUUAUAAUAAAAAAAAAUAAAAAUUUAAAAUUUUAGGAUUUAUAUUGUUUAAAAAUUAUAAUUUUUUAUAAAUAAAUUAAUUAAAAAAUAAAAUUUAAAAUAUAAAAUUUAAUUUUUUAUAAAAAAAUAUAAUAAAAUAAAAAAAUGAAAGUUAAAAUGAUAAAAUUAGUAUAAAAUUAUUUAUAAAAAAAUAAAAAUUAAAAAAAUUAAUUAAAAGGAAUUCGGCAAAGAAAUAUAUUCACUUGUUUAUCAAAAACAUGUCUUUUUGGAAAUAAUUUAAAGUCUAAUCUGCCCACUGAUAAUAAUUAAAGGGCUGCAGUAUAUUGACUGUACAAAGGUAGCAUAAUCAUUAGUCUCUUAAUUGGUGACUUGUAUGAAAGAUUGGAUGAAAUAUAAACUGUCUCUUGAUUAAAUAUAGAAUUUAAUUUUUUAAUAAAAAAGUUAAAAUAAAUUUAAAAGACGAGAAGACCCUAUAGAGUUUAAUAAUUGAAUUAUAAAAUUAAUAUAUAAAAAUAUAAAAAAUUUAAUAAAUAAGAUUAUUUAGUUGGGGUGAUUAAAAAAUUUAAUAAACUUUUUAAAUUUGAUUUCAUAAAUAAAUGAAUUUUUGAUCCAAAAGUUUUGAUUAAAAGAAAAAAUUACCUUAGGGAUAACAGCGUAAUUUUUUUUUUUAGUUCAUAUAAAAAAAAAAGUUUGCGACCUCGAUGUUGGAUUAAGAUAAAAUUUAAAUGCAAAAGUUUAAAAUUUUUGAUCUGUUCGAUCAUUAAAAUCUUACAUGAUCUGAGUUCAAACCGGUGUAAGCCAGGUUGGUUUCUAUCUUUAAAAUAAAAAAAAUAUUUUAGUACGAAAGGAUCAAAUAUUUAAAAUAAAUUUUAAAAAAAAAGAAUUUUAAUAAUAUAAAAUAAAUAUGAA
This 1329-nucleotide ribosomal RNA is filed under the name Promalactis odaiensis. Its description in RNAcentral is "16S ribosomal RNA". The stretch from base 1066 to 1225 matches the Rfam family "Eukaryotic large subunit ribosomal RNA", at positions 2825 to 2984 of the family's 3401-position model. The record is from RNAcentral. Lineage: Eukaryota; Metazoa; Arthropoda; Insecta; Lepidoptera; Oecophoridae.